This 471-nucleotide ribosomal RNA is filed under the name marine sediment bacterium ISA-7313. RNAcentral describes it as "bacterial SSU rRNA". It matches the Rfam family "Bacterial small subunit ribosomal RNA", at positions 45 to 510 of the family's 1533-position model. The record is from RNAcentral.
GGCUUAACACAUGCAAGUCGAGGGGUAACAGGGUGCUUGCACCGCUGACGACCGGCGAACGGGUGCGUAACGCGAUAUAGAAUCUGCCUUGUACAGGGAGGAUAGCCUUUAGAAAUGAAGAUUAAUACUCCAUAAUACUGAGAUGUGGCAUCACAAUUUAGUUAAAGAUUUAUCGGUACAAGAUGACUAUGCGUCCUAUUAGCUAGAUGGUAAGGUAACGGCUUACCAUGGCAACGAUAGGUAGGGGGUCUGAGAGGAUUAUCCCCCACACUGGUACUGAGACACGGUACCAGACUCCUACGGGAGGCAGCAGUGAGGAAUAUUGGUCAAUGGAGGCAACUCUGAACCAGCCAUGCCGCGUGCAGGAAGACUGCCCUAUGGGUUGUAAACUGCUUUUAUACAGGAAGAAACAGUCGUACGAGUACGACCUUGACGGUACUGUAAGAAUAAGCACCGGCUAACUCCGUGCCA